RNAcentral lists this ribosomal RNA (611 nucleotides) under Salmonella enterica. Its description in RNAcentral is "partial 23S ribosomal RNA". It matches the Rfam family "Bacterial large subunit ribosomal RNA", at positions 578 to 1190 of the family's 2925-position model. Lineage: Bacteria; Pseudomonadati; Pseudomonadota; Gammaproteobacteria; Enterobacterales; Enterobacteriaceae. The record is from RNAcentral.
AGCACCCUUUGGGGUGUGACUGCGUACCUUUUGUAUAAUGGGUCAGCGACUUAUAUUCUGUAGCAAGGUUAACCGAAUAGGGGAGCCGGAGGGAAACCGAGUCUUAACCGGGCGUUAAGUUGCAGGGUAUAGACCCGAAACCCGGUGAUCUAGCCAUGGGCAGGUUGAAGGUUGGGUAACACUAACUGGAGGACCGAACCGACUAAUGUUGAAAAAUUAGCGGAUGACCUGUGGCUGGGGGUGAAAGGCCAAUCAAACCGGGAGAUAGCUGGUUCUCCCCGAAAGCUAUUUAGGUAGCGCCUCGUGAAUUCAUCUCCGGGGGUAGAGCACUGUUUCGGCUAGGGGGCCAUCCCGGCUUACCAACCCGAUGCAAACUGCGAAUACCGGAGAAUGUUAUCACGGGAGACACACGGCGGGUGCUAACGUCCGUCGUGAAGAGGGAAACAACCCAGACCGCCAGCUAAGGUCCCAAAGUCAUGGUUAAGUGGGAAACGAUGUGGGAAGGCCCAGACAGCCAGGAUGUUGGCUUAGAAGCAGCCAUCAUUUAAAGAAAGCGUAAUAGCUCACUGGUCGAGUCGGCCUGCGCGGAAGAUGUAACGGGGCUAAACCAU